Molecule: ribosomal RNA, 428 nt
Filed under: uncultured bacterium
Lineage: Bacteria
Description: partial 16S ribosomal RNA
Rfam family: Bacterial small subunit ribosomal RNA
Source: RNAcentral
GUAGGGAAUAUUGCGCAAUGGACGAAAGUCUGACGCAGCGACGCCGCGUGAGUGAUGAAGGCCUUAGGGUCGUAAAGCUCUGUUGAAUGGGAAGAAAAAAAUGACGGUACCAUUCGAGGAAGGACCGGCUACCUUCGUGCCAGCAGCCGCGGUAAUACGAGGGGUCCUAGCGUUGUUCGGAAUCAUUGGGCGUAAAGGGUGUGUAGGUGGCCAUGUAAGUCAGGUGUGAAAGCCCCGGGCUCAACCCGGGAAGUGCACUUGAUACUGCGUGGCUUGAGUACCGAAGAGGGUAGUGGAAUUCCAGGUGUAGUGGUGAAAUACGUAGAUAUCUGGAGGAACACCGGUGGCGAAGGCGGCUACCUGGUCGAGUACUGACACUGAGACACGAAAGCAUGGGGAUCAAACAGGAUUAGAAACCCUUGUAGUCC